CCUACGGGCGGCAGCAGUGAGGAAUAUUGGUCAAUGGGCGCGAGUCUGAACCAGCCAAGUCGCGUGAGGGAUGACGGUCCUAUGUAUUGUAAACUUCUUUUGUCAGGGAAUAAAAGGAGGCACUAGUGCCUGUUUGAGUGUACCUGAAGAAUAAGCAUCGGCUAACUCCGUGCCAGCAGCCGCGGUAAUACGGAGGAUGCGAGCGUUAUCCGGAUUUAUUGGGGUUAAAGGGUGCGUAGGCGGGUAGUUAAGUCAGUCGGAAAAGUUUGGGGCUCAACCCCCGAAGAGCCUUUGAUACUGGCUGGCUGGAGUGAAGGAGAGGUAGGCGGAAUUCGUGGUGUAGCGGUGAAAUGCUUAGAUAUCACGAAGAACCCCGAGUGCGAAGGCAGCUUAC
This 394-nucleotide ribosomal RNA is filed under the name uncultured bacterium. RNAcentral describes it as "partial 16S ribosomal RNA". It matches the Rfam family "Bacterial small subunit ribosomal RNA", at positions 338 to 729 of the family's 1533-position model. The record is from RNAcentral.